This 1361-nucleotide long non-coding RNA is filed under the name Sus scrofa (pig). RNAcentral's name for it is "lncRNA (ENSSSCG00035052015.1, ENSSSCG00065076659.1)". The record is from RNAcentral. Lineage: Eukaryota; Metazoa; Chordata; Mammalia; Artiodactyla; Suidae.
CCACCCCAUCCCCAACCUUACUCUCACAUUACUUGCUCUAUUCAUUUUCUAUUGCUAUAUAACUAGUCACCACAAUGUAGAGGCUUAAAACAAUAUCAUAUGGUUAUUAUCUCAUGACUCUGUAGGUCAGAAAUCCAAGCAGGCUUGUCUGGGUUUUCUGUUUAAGGUCAGUAGGGGCAUAGAAUUCUGCCUCCCACACCUGCCUUCCUGCCAGCAGUGUCACAUCCACAAAAAUGAGAUUCAGAAGGAGGGGGUGUCUACACUAAAGCUGGGGGACAGAAGGUGGCAAAAGGGGAGCCUGUUGAGAUAAAGAGACAGAGUUGUGCCUGCAACGUCCAUGACCAACACUAAGAAACUGCUCCCAAAGGUCCAUGGACAUGAGAAAGACUCAAGGAGAUAGUUAUAAUCAGGAAGAAAGACAAUGGCGAAACAAAUACGGACCCAAACUCUGCAGUCACUGGGCUGGGCUCACUAGAUAAGGGAUAUCCUCUGAGGCUGGGGCCAGGAUGGAGAAUCACUGUGCUGAUUAAAUUGCCGUGGACAAAACAAAAUUACUUCAUUGGAAUCAAACCAAAACCUAGCCAUGACUAAAUCCUCAGAACAGUGAGGAUCUGGAGGGGUAGAUAUGUUAUUAAAGCUAUGCGAUGCAAGGAAAACUAGAGAGAAAAAAGGAAACAAGGAAGCAAGAGACACAUGGGAAAAGGGAGGAGGAGGAAAUGGUGGACUGGCUAUCUACAGAUGCUCUAACAACAUGGCAGCCUGCUUCUUCAAAGCUAACAGAAGAAUCUCUCACUCCUGACGCCGAAGAUUAUGAGUUUUAAAUACUGUAAGGUAAUUACGAGAGUGACAUAUCUAUAGUCUAUUCUGUUCUAUAUGCCCUACACUAUUCUAUUCUGCCCUGUUCUGUGUGAUUUUAUUCACAGUUGCCACAUUCCAUUGGCUAUAAGCAAGUCACUCAAAGAGAGGAGAUUAUAUAUUAAGGCUCUGUAUAAAGUGGUAUAUAUCAUUUUCUCUCAUUAAAAAUAAUUUUCUAUACUUGUGAUCAUUCUCUUCCAAUUCCUAAGGAUUUUUAUCUAUGCCUUUAUUUUUACUUAGAUAUUUUCAAAGAACUAUCUAGUUUUUACUAUGUAAUUAAUUUCUGUUUUAUCUUUACUCCCUUAACAUUUUUUUUGGAUUUAUGUAUAUUUUUUUCUUGUGCUUUUGACUUGGAUGCUUAAUUCAAAUUCAUUUACCUUUGAUCUUUCUAGUGUUCUGACAAAUGUAUUUAAUAGAAACACACACAUUAUCUUUCAGUACUGCUUUGGCUGCAUCCCACAGUUUUUUAAAAAUUAGUUAUUUUUUUUGGCCACACCCACGACAAG